CCUACGGGCGGCAGCAGUGAGGAAUAUUGGUCAAUGGACGGAAGUCUGAACCAGCCAUGCCGCGUGCAGGAAGACGGCUCUAUGAGUUGUAAACUGCUUUUGUACAAGGGUAAACCUGAAUACGUGUAUGCAGCUGAAAGUACUGUACGAAUAAGGAUAGGCUAACUCCGUGCCAGCAGCCGCGGUAAUACGGAGGAUCCAAGCGUUAUCCGGAUUUAUUGGGGUGAAAGGGUGCGUAGGCGGAUUGAUAAGGUAGAGGUGAACUGUCCGAGCUUAACUCGGGAACUGCCUCUAAUACUGUUGAUCUAGAGCGUAGCUGCGGUAGGCGGAAUGUAUUGUGUAGCGG
Molecule: ribosomal RNA, 346 nt
Filed under: uncultured bacterium
Lineage: Bacteria
Description: partial 16S ribosomal RNA
Rfam family: Bacterial small subunit ribosomal RNA
Source: RNAcentral